RNAcentral lists this transfer RNA (92 nucleotides) under Actinomycetes bacterium. RNAcentral's name for it is "Actinobacteria bacterium tRNA-Ser". It matches the Rfam family "tRNA". Rfam says of the family: Transfer RNA (tRNA) molecules are approximately 80 nucleotides in length. Their secondary structure includes four short double-helical elements and three loops (D, anti-codon, and T loops). Further hydrogen bonds mediate the characteristic L-shaped molecular structure. tRNAs have two regions of fundamental functional importance: the anti-codon, which is responsible for specific mRNA codon recognition, and the 3' end, to which the tRNAs corresponding amino acid is attached (by aminoacyl-tRNA synthetases). tRNAs cope with the degeneracy of the genetic code in two manners: having more than one tRNA (with a specific anti-codon) for a particular amino acid; and 'wobble' base-pairing, i.e. permitting non-standard base-pairing at the 3rd anti-codon position. The record is from RNAcentral. Lineage: Bacteria; Bacillati; Actinomycetota; Actinomycetes.
GGAGGGGUGGCAGAGCGGUCGAAUGCGGCGGUCUCGAAAACCGUUUCGGGCGGUUUCGUCCGACGAGGGUUCAAAUCCCUCCCCCUCCGCCU